This 443-nucleotide ribosomal RNA is filed under the name uncultured bacterium. RNAcentral describes it as "SSU rRNA". It matches the Rfam family "Bacterial small subunit ribosomal RNA", at positions 26 to 518 of the family's 1533-position model. The record is from RNAcentral.
AGAGCGAACGCUGGCGGCAGGCCUAAUACAUGCAAGUCGAACGAACCCUUCGGGGUUAGUGGCGGACGGGUGAGUAACACGUGGGAACGUGCCCUUUGGUUCGGAACAACUCAGGGAAACUUGAGCUAAUACCGGAUAAGCCCUUCGGGGGAAAGAUUUAUCGCCAUUGGAGCGGCCCGCGUCUGAUUAGCUAGUUGGUGAGGUAAAGGCUCACCAAGGCUACGAUCAGUAGCUGGUCUGAGAGGAUGAUCAGCCACACUGGGACUGAGACACGGCCCAGACUCCUACGGGAGGCAGCAGUAGGGAAUCUUGCGCAAUGGGCGAAAGCCUGACGCAGCCAUGCCGCGUGAAUGAUGAAGGUCUUAGGAUUGUAAAAUUCUUUCAGCGGGACGAUAAUGACGGUACCGCAGAAGACGCCCGGCUAACUUCGCGCCAGCAGCCGC